AUCCCCACAGCCCUCUAUAAAAUGCCCCGAUCGAUGAGGGCGCGCAGAGCGGGGCAGGGCACUGUGCCGGGCAGGGCUGUGCUGCAGGAGGAGACACAGAGCUGGACACCAUGUGCUGCCUCACCCAUGUGCUGGCGCUGGCGCUGGUGCUGGGCGCUUCAUGGCAGGCGCUGCAUGGAGCUCCACUGGCCGAGCUCUCGGGGGACCACGACUUCCAGCUCUUCCUGCACAAGAACCUGGAGUUCACCCGCAAGAUCAGGGGGGACGUGGCUGCACUGCAGCGCGUGGUGUGUGACACCUUCCAGCUGUGCACAGAGGAAGAGCUGCAGCUGGUACAGCCGGACCCACCCCUGAUGCAGGCACCGCUGGAUCAGUGCCUCAAGCGCAGCUUCCAGGCGGUGAGUGCCAGCGAGCACCCGUGGCACGAGCUGCCC
RNAcentral lists this long non-coding RNA (434 nucleotides) under Chrysolophus pictus (golden pheasant). RNAcentral's name for it is "lncRNA (ENSCPIG00010005041.1)". The record is from RNAcentral. Lineage: Eukaryota; Metazoa; Chordata; Aves; Galliformes; Phasianidae.